CUCCGCUAAGAGGAGGUUUAAUACUGCUCCCUCUGCUGAUUGUUUUGCUGCAAUCUUGCCUUUCAGUUUGUGACACCAGCCUAAGUCACCACACACUUGUGAUGUGCCACUGAAGGUCCCAGGCAGUUGUGGCAUCCUCCUUUGGCCACUAAUGAUGGUCACCACAGAUCAACGAGGCUUUUUGGUUAACAGGAUAAUAAAUGCACAAAAAUUUGCCCUGCAGGACUGCUUUCCAUGGCAGCAAAUUCCCAAAGGACAAUUUUGAAGCAGCUAUGCUAGAAGAUCCAUACUGGUAGAGACCAGAAUCAGCGUGUUUGUUUUUUUCCUCUGAGCGUCACUGGAUUUUGAGGAAACUGCAUUCCAACCUGCUGCACUUUAAAAUACACCUCUUUCUCACUAGCACAGCUAUUGUGUGUCCCAGUGCACUGGAGAGACUAAAACAAGAGAGCGAUGCAAGAUCCUAUCCUCAACAAGGCCCGUCAGGAUGGACCUUGAGCACAGACCUGCACAGUGAGCACUCAGCUCCUUAGUUUUUCUGGAGUUCCCCUCAUUUUCUUACCUCCUGCAUAGGAGGCCACUGUCAGCACCCAACAGCCUGCUACAGCAACUUUGAAAGCUUCCCUUGCUUUGAGGAUGUUCCUCUCUCCACUCCUGUGAGAGGGUUGGAGUCACUAUGAAGCAAUGGCACAAGACAAAGUACACACAUCACCACACAGAGUGCUGA
This is a long non-coding RNA of Dromaius novaehollandiae (emu), 724 nucleotides long. RefSeq lists it as uncharacterized. The transcript is spliced from 3 exons. The record is from RefSeq and is a predicted model, not a curated record. NCBI's taxonomy places the organism in Eukaryota, Metazoa, Chordata, Aves, Casuariiformes, Dromaiidae.